RNAcentral lists this ribosomal RNA (463 nucleotides) under uncultured bacterium. RNAcentral's name for it is "partial 16S ribosomal RNA". It matches the Rfam family "Bacterial small subunit ribosomal RNA", at positions 28 to 507 of the family's 1533-position model. The record is from RNAcentral.
GACGAACGCUGGCGGCGUGCCUAACACAUGCAAGUCGAGCGGGGGGAGUUCUUCGGCUCGAACCUAGCGGCGGACGGUUGCGUAACACGUGGGCAACCUGCCUUGAGGAGGGGUUUAACAGGGUGAAAGUCCUGCUAAUACCGCAUAACCCGGUGCUGUCGCAUGAUUGCAUCGGCGAAGGAGCAAUCCGCCUCAAGAUGGGCCCGCGGCGCAUUAGCUAGUUGGUGGGGUAACGGCCUACCAAGGCGACGAUGCGUAGCCGACCUGAGAGGGUGAUCGGCCACAUUGGAACUGAGACACGGGCCAGACUCAUACGGGAGGCAGCAGUGGGGAAUAUUGCACAAUGGGCGAAAGCCUGAUGCAGCAACGCCGUGUGAGCGAUGAAGGCCGUCGGGUUGUAAAGCUCUGUCUUCGCUGACGAAAUCUGACGGUAAGCGAGGAGAAAGCAACGGCUAACUACGUG